AACGAACGCUGGCGGCAGGCUUAACACAUGCAAGUCGAACGAUGUAGCAAUACAUAGUGGCGCACGGGUGAGUAACGCGUGGGAAUAUACCUUAUAGUGGGGAAUAACUUCGGGAAACUGAAGCUAAUACCGCAUACGCCCGAGAGGGGAAAGAUUUAUCGCUAUAAGAUUAGCCCGCGUGAGAUUAGGUAGUUGGUGGUGUAAUGGCCUACCAAGCCGACGAUCUCUAGCUGGGCUGAGAGGAUGAUCAGCCACACUGGAACUGAGACACGGUCCAGACUCCUACGGGAGGCAGCAGUGGGGAAUAUUGGACAAUGGGCGAAAGCCUGAUCCAGCCAUGCCGCGUGAAUGAUGAAGGCCUUAGGGUUGUAAAGUUCUUUCGCCGAUGAAGAUAAUGACGGUAGUCGGAGAAGAAGCCCCGGCUAACUUCGUGCCAGCAGCCGCAGUAA
Molecule: ribosomal RNA, 449 nt
Filed under: uncultured bacterium
Lineage: Bacteria
Description: partial 16S ribosomal RNA
Rfam family: Bacterial small subunit ribosomal RNA
Source: RNAcentral